GACAGAGGAUGCAAGCGUUAUCCGGAAUGAUUGGGCGUAAAGCGUCUGUAGGUGGCUUUUUAAGUCUGCCGUCAAAUCCCAGGGCUUAACCCUGGACAGGCGGUGGAAACUACCAAGCUGGAGUACGGUAGGGGCAGAGGGAAUUUCCGGUGGAGCGGUGAAAUGCGUAGAGAUCGGAAAGAAACACCAACGGCGGAAAAGCACUCUGCUGGGCCGACACUGACACUGAGAGACGAAAGCUAGGGGAGCGAAUGGG
Molecule: ribosomal RNA, 256 nt
Filed under: uncultured bacterium
Lineage: Bacteria
Description: partial 16S ribosomal RNA
Rfam family: Bacterial small subunit ribosomal RNA
Source: RNAcentral